AUACAUUAAAACCCAUAGAAGAAGGAAAGCAUACAACAUAAGGACAUAGUAACCAAGGAAACCAAACCCUAACUUAACUGAUGUAGUACAUAGGGUCAGGGACCUUAAAGGUUCUCAGGCCUGUAGGGGUCCCAAGAAUAUCACUCCAUUGCUCUCCCAUGUUUCCAACAAUUGUAUAACCUUGCACUUCAAGUUGCCUUCUCUUUCCAGAUUUGUAUACUACAGCAUUUCCCUCAUCCUCAGGCUGCC
Magnolia sinica is the source of this 249-nucleotide long non-coding RNA. RefSeq lists it as uncharacterized. The record is from RefSeq and is a predicted model, not a curated record. NCBI's taxonomy places the organism in Eukaryota, Viridiplantae, Streptophyta, Magnoliopsida, Magnoliales, Magnoliaceae. The transcript has 2 exons.